This 164-nucleotide small nuclear RNA is filed under the name Oryzias latipes (Japanese medaka). Its description in RNAcentral is "U1 spliceosomal RNA (ENSORLG00015000679.1)". It matches the Rfam family "U1 spliceosomal RNA". From Rfam's summary of the family: U1 is a small nuclear RNA (snRNA) component of the spliceosome (involved in pre-mRNA splicing). Its 5' end forms complementary base pairs with the 5' splice junction, thus defining the 5' donor site of an intron. The record is from RNAcentral. Lineage: Eukaryota; Metazoa; Chordata; Actinopteri; Beloniformes; Adrianichthyidae.
AUACUUACCUGGCAGGGGAGAUACCAUGAUCAUGAAGGUGGUUCACCCAAGGUGAGGCUCAGCCAUUGCACUGAGGCUGUUGCUGACCUUUACGAAUUCCCCAAAUGUGGGAAUCUCGACUGCAUAAUUUCUGAUAGUGGGGACUGCGUCCGCGCUCUCCCCUG